This 348-nucleotide small RNA is filed under the name Listeria monocytogenes F6900. RNAcentral's name for it is "Listeria sRNA rliB". It matches the Rfam family "Listeria sRNA rliB". Lineage: Bacteria; Bacillati; Bacillota; Bacilli; Caryophanales; Listeriaceae. The record is from Rfam by way of RNAcentral.
AAUCCGCGUUUUAGUUACUUAUUUUGAAAUGUAAAUCUAGAACAAAAGAAAAAUCAUGAGGGAUAUUUACGUUUUAGUUACUUAUUUUGAAAUGUAAAUGGUUUUGAAUGCUGGUGGUGAUAGUCCUAAUGAAGGUUUUAGUUACUUAUUAUGAAAUGUAAAUUUGGUUCCUUUGGAAAACAACAAUAACGUGUAGUAUUGUUUUAUUCAAUCAUUCAGAAUUGGUAAAUGCAGAAGCAGCAAAAUAACCAAAAGUAAUGACUUUCGUUUUAAUUUCUUAAGAUGAAAUAUAAAUGAAAACCUGUUAUACAUAGGAUUAUCUAUUUCCGUUAUAAUUAUUCCUUGCAA